UUUGCUUCUUUUGAUGCUACAGCCGCACUUAAGACCACUGUAUCGCCAUAACGGACUAAUACUGCUCCAUUGGCUUGUUUUGCUAAUUGACCGACUUCGAUUUGUAGGGGACGGCCGCCCCAUGUCGUUUUGAAUACUUGUUUUUCUGACAUAAUUACUCCUUUUCUUUCCCGUGAAAGCAAGA
Enterococcus durans ATCC 6056 is the source of this 184-nucleotide non-coding RNA. The record is from Rfam. NCBI's taxonomy places the organism in Bacteria, Bacillati, Bacillota, Bacilli, Lactobacillales, Enterococcaceae.